This is a non-coding RNA of Microcebus murinus (gray mouse lemur), 533 nucleotides long. The record is from RefSeq and is a predicted model, not a curated record. Lineage: Eukaryota; Metazoa; Chordata; Mammalia; Primates; Cheirogaleidae.
UCAUCUCCAUCAAUGGUGAGGAUAGCAAAAUUUUCCUUGGCUAGGAAACGGACCUCAUGCCACUGGCCAUCAUUCAACCCAGAACCUGUGAACUUUGAAGAAGGUCACAUGUGACCAUUACCAAUCCAAUUAACUGGUCACUCUGAGGACUAGCCAGAGUUACCUCCCACAUUGAAAAUGAACAAAUGAGUAAACCAAGAUUCAACAAAUUAGAAGACCUGCUAGUAUGAACUAAGUUCUAAAUUCUCAAUAUAUGUUCGUUGGAUGAACAAAUGGCUUGUGUGGACUUCGGAAAGAGCAUUUUGCAUGCAGAUCAUGGAUUGGAAUGAGAGAUAAGACAAGAGGUACUAAUUGAAACUAGAUCAUGAAGGUCUCUGAAUUUCAAGUUAGGAAGUUUGAACUCAUUAACUAUAGUCAAAUGCUAUCCAUUAAAAAAAAAUAAAUAUUAUGUACCUACUCUCAAUAAAGUUUAUUAAAAAAAUUUUAAAAAGAUGUUUGAACAUCAUUCAGUAAGAAGUUUAUAGAAUAAAGAG